This 369-nucleotide ribosomal RNA is filed under the name uncultured bacterium. RNAcentral's name for it is "bacterial SSU rRNA". It matches the Rfam family "Bacterial small subunit ribosomal RNA", at positions 527 to 896 of the family's 1533-position model. The record is from RNAcentral.
GUAGGGUGCGAGCGUUAAUCGGAAUUACUGGGCGUAAAGCGUGCGCAGGCGGUUCUCCAAGUCCGUUGUGAAAGCCCCGGGCUCAACCUGGGAAUGGCAGUGGAAACUAGGGGACUGGAAUCUGGCAGAGGGGGGUGGAAUGCCGCGUGUAGCAGUGAAAUGCGUAGAGAUGCGGCGGAACACCGAUGGCGAAGGCAGCCCCCUGGGCUGAGAUUGACGCUCAGGCACGAAAGCGUGGGGAGCAAACAGGAUUAGAUACCCUGGUAGUCCACGCCCUAAACGAUGGCAACUAGGUGUUGGGGAAGCGAUUUCCUGGUACCGCAGCUAACGCGUGAAGUUGCCCGCCUGGGGAGUACGGUCGCAAGAUUA